This 500-nucleotide ribosomal RNA is filed under the name uncultured cyanobacterium. Its description in RNAcentral is "bacterial SSU rRNA". It matches the Rfam family "Bacterial small subunit ribosomal RNA", at positions 356 to 870 of the family's 1533-position model. The record is from RNAcentral. Lineage: Bacteria; Bacillati; Cyanobacteriota.
GGGGAAUUUUCCGCAAUGGGCGAAAGCCUGACGGAGCAAGACCGCGUGCGGGAGGAAGGUCUAUUGAUUGUAAACCGCUUUUGAUAGGGAAGAAGAUCUGACGGUACCUAUCGAAUCAGCAUCGGCUAAUUCCGUGCCAGCAGCCGCGGUAAUACGGGGGAUGCAAGCGUUAUCCGGAAUUAUUGGGCGUAAAGCGUCCGUAGGUGGUUUUAAAAGUCUGUUGUCAAAUCGCGAGGCUUAACCUCGUACAGGCAGUGGAAACUAUAAGACUAGAGUGCGGUAGGGGUAGAGGGAAUUUCCAGUGUAGCGGUGAAAUGCGUAGAUAUUGGAAAGAACACCGGUGGCGAAGGCGCUCUACUGGGCCUGCACUGACACUGAGGGACGAAAGCUAGGGGAGCGAAAGGGAUUAGAUACCCCUGUAGUCCUAGCCGUAAACGAUGGAAACUAGGUGUUGCCCGUAUCGACCCGGGCAGUGCCGUAGCUAACGCGUUAAGUUUCCC